GCACGGGCCGGUGGGAUUCGGGCGGGACGGCCCCUGAGGGUCCCGGGCGGGAGCAGAACAACUCUGAUGGCAGCGGCCCCGGGCGCUGAGCUCCCGGAGACCGGCUACAGGGAUCCCUCGGGCCGCUUGGCGCUGCGAGCUUUUCCGCGCCGCUGGCGGGGCGUUCCGGAGGCGCCGCGGCCACAGCGCCACCCAGUUCCCGCGAUCCUCCCCUCAACCGCCCAGAUCACUCAGCUCUCCGCAAGCCACUGCCUCCCCACCACCCACUCUGCUCGGGGAGAGGGAACUGAGGGGGUUGGGGCUGCCGGCCCUGGAGCGCUUCUGGGGCUCGGAGCCUGCCUGCCCGCCGGCGGGGACAAAUGCACCACGGAAGAGAAGUCAGGCCCGGAGAAGUUCAGGAACACCCAGAAGCCGCUGUCCUGCAUUCGGAAGGAAUGAGCUUUUAACUUAACCCUUCAUGAAUGGCCCCUGAGUGUUGAGUAUCCAUGAUGAGAAAUGACUUCAAUAAUAACAACGCUUGAAUUCCUUAGGGCAGAGCCUGCUCGGAUCGUCUCCUGAUGUCAUUCCAAAUGUCGGAUGGCCAUCUAUGGCAACUGGACUGGCAGGGGCCUGCUGGAAGGGGCAGCCCCAGGAAUGCCUGCUGCAGCAUUCCGUUCAAGAAAGACCUAGAAGGAGUUCUCUGAGGCCGCAGGGGCAGCAUUUGCAGCUGUGUCUAGGGGCCGGUGCCACUUCUUGGGAAAUGGAAGCCAUCGUGUUUUUGCAUUUUUUGAUUUUAGAUCUUCAGUCUAACGCUCUCCCAACUGAGCUAUUUCGGCUAGCAUUUUUUGAUUUUAAUACGCUGCCACUUGGGAGGUUAUGAGUCCCACUGACUUCAUGAUUGGUUUAAAUAUGUAUUAUGGGGGAGGGACUCAGAAUGUUAAUAAAAAUGUUUAACGUAUUCACGCUGAUACUUCUUAUGAAGAACACUAAAUCAAAGGAUCUAGAAAGAAGUGAAGGAAGCUUCCACAGGAAAAAAUGUAACUUGUUUCCUCUACGCUUCAAUGAGAGGUUAAAACAUCAUUUUUAACCAUUAUUAAUCAUUUUAUUUAUAACCCCAAAUUUUGAACCCAAUAAAAGAAAGUUUCUUUUCUUGAAGGCAAUAU
This is a long non-coding RNA of Oryctolagus cuniculus (rabbit), 1142 nucleotides long. RefSeq lists it as uncharacterized. The record is from RefSeq and is a predicted model, not a curated record. NCBI's taxonomy places the organism in Eukaryota, Metazoa, Chordata, Mammalia, Lagomorpha, Leporidae.